This 329-nucleotide unclassified non-coding RNA is filed under the name soil metagenome. RNAcentral describes it as "partial contains 5.8S ribosomal RNA, internal transcribed spacer 2, and large subunit ribosomal RNA". The stretch from base 1 to 120 matches the Rfam family "5.8S ribosomal RNA", at positions 35 to 154 of the family's 154-position model. The record is from RNAcentral.
GAUGAAGAACGCAGCGAAAUGCGAUAAGUAGUGUGAAUUGCAGAAUUCAGUGAAUCAUCGAAUCUUUGAACGCACAUUGCGCCCCUUGGUAUCCCGAGGGGCAUGCCUGUUUGAGCGUCAUUUCACCACUCAAGCCUGGCUUGGUGUUGGGCGACGUCCUCUUUGGGGACGCGCCUCGAAACGCUCGGCGGCGUGGCACCGGCUUUAAGCGUAGCAGAAUCUUUCGCUUUGGAAGUCGGGGCCCCGUCUGCCGGAAGACCUGCUCGCAAGGUUGACCUCGGAUCAGGCAGGGAUACCCGCUGAACUUAAGCAUAUCAAUAAGCGGAGGA